GGACGAACGCUGGCGGCGUGCUUAACACAUGCAAGUUGUACGACGGUUUUUAUGAAGGUAGUAAUACUGGAUGAAGAUACGGAGUAGCGGACGGGUGAGUACAACAUGAGAAGCUAUCCUCUAAAGGGGGACAACGUUUGGAAACGAACGCUAAUACCCCAUAGGCCAUAUGGUUAAAGCAGCGAUGCGAUAGAGGAGGUGCUCGUGCCCUAUCAGCUAGUUGGUGAGGUAACGGCUCACCAAGGCAUUGACGGGUAGCCGGCCUGAGAGGGCGACCGGCCACACUGGAACUGAGAUACGGUCCAGACUCCUACGGGAGGCAGCAGUGGGGAAUAUUGGGCAAUGGGAGAAAUCCUGACCCAGCAACGCCGCGUGAAUGAAGAAGGCCCUUGGGUCGUAAAGUUCUUUUGCGCGGGAAGAAAGAAAUGACGGUACCGCGCGAAUAAGCCCCGGCUAACUACGUGCCAGCAGCCGCGGUAAUACGUAGGGGGCGAGCGUUGUCCGGAAUUACUGGGCGUAAAGGGCACGCAGGCUGUGCCGUAAGUCGGCUGUUAAAAGAUGCGGCUUAACCGUGUUUUGCAGUCGAAACUGCGGUGCUUGAGUACCGGAGAGGCAAGUGGAAUUCCCAGUGUAGCGGUGAAAUGCGUAGAUAUUGGGAAGAACAUCGGUGGCGAAGGCGACUUGCUGGUCGGUAACUGACGCUCUUGUGCGAAAGCCAGGGGAGCAAACGGGAUUAGAUACCCCGGUAGUCCUGGCGGUAAACGAUGAAUGCUGGGUGUGCGAGUAGAGAUACUGGCGUGCCGUAGUUAACGCGAUAAGCAUUCCGCCUGGGGAGUACGGUCGCAAGAUUGAAACUCAAAGGAAUUGACGGGGGCCCGCACAAGCGGUGGAGCACGUGGUUUAAUUCGAUGCAAA
This 915-nucleotide ribosomal RNA is filed under the name uncultured bacterium. Its description in RNAcentral is "bacterial SSU rRNA". It matches the Rfam family "Bacterial small subunit ribosomal RNA", at positions 27 to 960 of the family's 1533-position model. The record is from RNAcentral.